This is a long non-coding RNA of Solanum lycopersicum (tomato), 876 nucleotides long. RefSeq lists it as uncharacterized. NCBI's taxonomy places the organism in Eukaryota, Viridiplantae, Streptophyta, Magnoliopsida, Solanales, Solanaceae. The record is from RefSeq and is marked validated.
AGAGUGAUAUUUUUCUAACUUCAAUCGUUUUCUUUUUUACUCUAGAGAGAAUAGAAUCUCCCGUUUUCUAGAAACCCGAAAUAUUCUGGAUUGUUCGAUACGGUCCGCUACUACGUUCUCUGGACGCAAAAGAUUUUCCGAUCGGCAACCGGAGGCGGCAGAGAAUUUCAAUUGCCGUCGUUUAGCCGAACUGGUGCAACGCAUGGAGCGUAGUUAGGUGUUAUAAAGUUCAAUUCCCUUUGCCUAUCUAGGUGGUUCAAUCAUCAAUGGAUCAUUCCUAUCAAGUUAAUCACAGUUGUGCCCUAAAUCCUCCCAAAGACGGCCUCCCUAGCACCCAGUCUUCUAAUGAUGCACUUAGGCAGAUGGGAUCUGAAGGGAAAAUGGGAGCAGUUCAUGAAGAAAUGAAGAGAGUGAGUAGACUUCCACCAAGCAGUACAUAUGCAACUCAUCGGAUGCGCGUCCUUAACAAAAUCCUGCAACUUAUGUCCAUUCAGAGAACCACUUCACAGGAUGAGGAGUUGGAAUUGCUAUUUUCUGGGCUCUCUCUUGGAUGAUAAGAAGCAAAGAUCAUAUUUUCAGCCGUUGGUUUAUCAGAUACGCAGUGGAUCAUUUAUGUUGCUCACUUCGUCUUUGGUCUUCAGCUGCAUCUUCGCAAACCGUUUCUUUUUGAUGUAGAGAUGAUGCUUUGAUUAUUAAAUAAGUUAUACUGGUUAUAUAAUAGGUCUAGAAUUAAACCUGUUAUCUCAAUUAUGUGGUGGAUCAUCUGGCUGUCAAAGUUAGUUGAUUUCAACUUGAACUCUUGGAUUCCAGGUGAAUCAAUGCUCCACAGUACAAUAUUUUGAUGACUUUUUGGCUAAAGGAUCCUUCAAUUUACAG